CAGUCUGCGAAACGUGAAACUACACGAGGAUGUAUGUUUUAAUGCCGCUGAUAUUUCUACUAUUUUGUGUAUUCUUUGCAUCAGCCGCUCCAACCACCUGUGUAGACAAAACAUGCAUUUCUACGGGGUAUGGAUGCGUACCAUUCAAGUUCUGCCAAGAAAAAGCAUCGCUGUGCCGAAAUAGCUGUAGAAGGCGGUCUUUUUGCUGCAAACUCAAACGAAUGAAGUCCUGCUCCUCGGCUGGAGGAACUUGUGAAAGACGAUGCGAAUUUGAAAACAACGGUAUCCAAUGCCCUGGACGACUGAAGUGCUGCGUUCAUUUGGAGCGCUGAGCCAACGCUGAGCAGCCAUUGCCGCAACUUGCCAACACGCUAGUCAUAAUGCCAGCUUGACCAACGAACACGACGACCUUAAUAAUCAUUAUCCAUAUCCUUCUACCGAUUCCGUGCUUCGAAUAAAAAGUGGCAAGUCCACAGAAAGAGCAUUAAAGUUUCAACAUGAAAGAA
Molecule: long non-coding RNA, 506 nt
Filed under: Dermacentor andersoni
Lineage: Eukaryota; Metazoa; Arthropoda; Arachnida; Ixodida; Ixodidae
Description: uncharacterized LOC126537967
Source: RNAcentral